GACGAACGCCGGCGGCGUGCUUAACACAUGCAAGUCGAACGGAGCGAAUGAAAGCUUGCUUUUAUGAGCUUAGUGGCAAACGGGUGAGUAACACGUAGGCAACCUGCCGACAGGAUGGGGACAACAUUCCGAAAGGAAUGCUAAUACCGAAUGAAGUCAGAGAAGGGCAUCCUUUUCUGAUGAAAGAUGGCCUCUGAAUAUGCUAUCACCUGUCGAUGGGCCUGCGUCUGAUUAGCUAGUAGGUGAGGUAACGGCUCACCUAGGCGACGAUCAGUAGCCGGUCUGAGAGGAUGAACGGCCACAUUGGGACUGAGACACGGCCCAGACUCCUACGGGAGGCAGCAGUGGGGAAUCUUCCGCAAUGGGCGCAAGCCUGACGGAGCAACGCCGCGUGAGUGAAGAAGGUCUUCGGAUGUAAAGCUCUGUUGAGGGGACGAAUGUGCCUGAUGCGAAUAGUGUCC
This 461-nucleotide ribosomal RNA is filed under the name Selenomonas sp. oral taxon 479. Its description in RNAcentral is "bacterial SSU rRNA". It matches the Rfam family "Bacterial small subunit ribosomal RNA", at positions 28 to 474 of the family's 1533-position model. Lineage: Bacteria; Bacillati; Bacillota; Negativicutes; Selenomonadales; Selenomonadaceae. The record is from RNAcentral.